Molecule: unclassified non-coding RNA, 465 nt
Filed under: Hevea brasiliensis (rubber tree)
Lineage: Eukaryota; Viridiplantae; Streptophyta; Magnoliopsida; Malpighiales; Euphorbiaceae
Source: RNAcentral
UGCAAUUUGUCUGUUCCCUGAUCAAGAAUCGUGCUACAACAGAUGAGAAAGAACAUUAGUACAAUUGAAUGAAUACAACACAAGAUAGAGAUACUUAAAAAACAUCAGUGUAAACAGCCAUGAGAGUGAAUAUGAUGGAUAAGACAGAUGAUCACAUUUUUAAGGGUCUUAAUGAACAGAAUCCAUAUCACAAGUGUCAUAACCUUACAUAUGUAAUUUCCUAGUAAUGUAAGCAGAAGAUAUUUUCUCACUCGAAUUAACUUAAGUGAGAAAAGGGAUCAUGCAAAAGGAAUUAAGGGAGAUGAGAGUAUGAAAGGAGGAGGAGAAGAAGAAGAAUAGAGAGAAGAGCAGUUCAGGAAAGAAGAACCUCGAAUUUAGGGCCUGCCAUUCACCGAGCCAUCAUUGCAACUUACCUUAGUAGAUUUAAGACAAUACCCAAUGUAAAUCAAGCUCUGAUACCAUCUG